This 301-nucleotide ribosomal RNA is filed under the name uncultured bacterium. RNAcentral describes it as "partial 16S ribosomal RNA". It matches the Rfam family "Bacterial small subunit ribosomal RNA", at positions 509 to 807 of the family's 1533-position model. The record is from RNAcentral.
CAGCAGCCGCGGUAAUACCGAGGGUGCGAGCGUUAAUCGGAUUUACUGGGCGUAAAGCGUGCGUAGGCGGCUUCUUAAGUCGGAUGUGAAAUCCCUGAGCUUAACUUAGGAAUUGCAUUCGAUACUGGGAAGCUAGAGUAUGGGAGAGGAUGGUAGAAUUCCAGGUGUAGCGGUGAAAUGCGUAGAGAUCUGGAGGAAUACCGAUGGCGAAGGCAGCCAUCUGGCCUAAUACUGACGCUGAGGUACGAAAGCAUGGGGAGCAAACAGGAUUAGAGACCCCUGUAGUCCCUGUCUCUUAUAC